This 2100-nucleotide long non-coding RNA is filed under the name Triticum aestivum (bread wheat). Its description in RNAcentral is "long non-coding RNA (TAES_LNC014085)". The record is from RNAcentral. Lineage: Eukaryota; Viridiplantae; Streptophyta; Magnoliopsida; Poales; Poaceae.
UUUUUUUUUUCUCUUCUAAAUAUAAGAGCAGGAUGACACUGAAUGAACUAAAUUCAACUUAGACUCCAAUGGUCAAUAUGAUUGCAGUCCGCUGAGUGGUUGAUUUGCAAGUCAGCUGAUGUUGAAUUAUUUUUUUCGAAACGGAGGCAAAGAUUGCCUCAUCUAUUAAUUAAGCAGAAGAGAAUUAUGGGAUGUGUGUCUGACAGCCAAUGCAAACCGAGUUGCAAUCAAAUCAUUAAAUAACUAGCAGGGUUGCAUCAAAAUCAUGCAAACCGAGUUACCAUCAAAUUCAUGAGUAAUUAGCAGGGUUGCAUCAAAUCAUGCAAACCGAGUUGCAAUCAAAUUCACAAGUAAUUAACAGGGGUUGCAUCAGACAUUGACACAAGAGGAGAUUGAAACCAUCACUCAUCAAUAAAGUCGCACAUGAAAGGUUACCUACGGAAACAGAUAUAAUCACAGUACAAUGUUCCCUCUAUCAUUGGUACAAGGCUACAAUCAUGAUCCAGAAGGAGAGCACCAUAUGCUUCAUAUGAUCAAGUAGGUUCAGCAGCUCCUUGUGCAGGAAAUGGCUUUCGGCAAUCAGGAGAAAGACAAUGCUUUGAGAAACCACAUCUAAGCAAACUGAUACAUGAUUGAAGUGUAAAAUUGCAAAAACAAAAUCCUGGAGAUGCAUGGAACACUUCAUCAAGUGAUGUGUACACCAAGAACCAAAAAUACAAACAAUGCCUCAGGUUUGUCGAUUGAUGUCAUCUUCUCAAGAGGUUCUCCCUGAAUUAGCAUCCAUUUUGCAUACAGAAACAUCAUUAGCAAAACCGUAAGUAAUUACAAUGCAGCAAGAUAUCAUGAACUGAGGGCAGAGAAAAAAAAAGGUAUAAACCAAUGGAAGAGGGCAUUCCAUUUGUUUUCAAUCACAUCCCAAACAAUUCAAAAUAGGAUGAUGUUUCUUUGUGGUUCGGGAAACCUUUGUGAUUCAAAAUAGGACUGCACUAGAAAGUCAUCACAAACCUUUGUUGCCAAAUAAGAAAUCACACACGUCAGUUCACCACAAUAUUAUACGAUGUCUCAGAUUUGUCAAUAUUUUGCAGACAGAAUCAUCACUGGAGCACCACAGAUUUAAAAUGGCAUGCCACAAAGGCAGUUCGGUUGCUAAAUACAAAACCACACAUCUCAAUCCAACCUUACUACUAAAAUCACAAGGCACUAAAGAGGAUCAAAAUAUACAAUGUAUCAGGUUUGUUGAAUUAUGUCAUUAUUAUGUCUGCUUCAUCAAGAGGUUCUCCCAGAAACAGGGGCUUGAAUCCACAGAAGAUCCAUUUUGCAAACAGAGUCAUCAUUGGAACACCGAACACCAAAAACAAUGCAGUAGCUAAAUACAGAAUCACACCCAAUCCAACCUUACUAAUAUAUUAUAUAUGCUUCCUCAAGAAGUUCUGCCGGAUACAAUGAUUUGAGUCCCCAGGAUAUCCAUUUUGCUCACAUCAACGAACACCACUUCUUCAAGAUAGGCAUAAGGUAAGAUAGUACCCGAUAGCUACUGCAUUUCUUACACCAGAUGCUCAGAUAUGAAAACCUAAACGGAUAACAUGGAUACAUAUAACUACGACGAUACUAGCAGUCUCGGCCGGAAGAUAGUAGGCGGAGAAGUCGGCCCAGUUUGGCGGCUCGGGGACCUCCUUCUGUGGAAGGGAAGCGGGAGCAACGUACCCAACCAUCCCCUCCGUUGCGUACGGCGCGUCCUUGAUGAAAUCUCCGACUGCUUCUGCCAGGUCCACAUGGCGAUGCCCGCGAGGGUCACGGGGAUGACGACGGGUGGGCCUUCCGUGGACUCGCCAGAACCAUUCCCGGCCUCGCCGCCGCCGCCGCCGCCGCCCUUGGUGUGCAGAGGCUCGCCGCCGUCGCAGAUGCCCGCCUUGGCGCCGCCGUCGCCGACGCUCGCCUUGGUGCUCUGCCGGCGCACAGCCGCCGGCUUGAAUGCGUUGCGAACGCGCAUCCAGCCGGCGCGGUGCAUUUUCUCCGGUGGGUCUUUGGUCGGUGGCGGCGGUGGGGGAGGAGGAUGGGGAGAGGUAGGGUUAGUUUUAUACGGGACACUAAUCCGUAGCC